This 2580-nucleotide ribosomal RNA is filed under the name Yersinia pestis. RNAcentral's name for it is "partial 23S ribosomal RNA". It matches the Rfam family "Bacterial large subunit ribosomal RNA", at positions 383 to 2925 of the family's 2925-position model. Lineage: Bacteria; Pseudomonadati; Pseudomonadota; Gammaproteobacteria; Enterobacterales; Yersiniaceae. The record is from RNAcentral.
AAAUGCACAGGCUGUGAACUCGAUGAGUAGGGCGGGACACGUGACAUCCUGUCUGAAUAUGGGGGGACCAUCCUCCAAGGCUAAAUACUCCUGACUGACCGAUAGUGAACCAGUACCGUGAGGGAAAGGCGAAAAGAACCCCGGCGAGGGGAGUGAAAUAGAACCUGAAACCGUGUACGUACAAGCAGUGGGAGCACCUUCGUGGUGUGACUGCGUACCUUUUGUAUAAUGGGUCAGCGACUUAUAUUUUGUAGCAAGGUUAACCGAAUAGGGGAGCCGUAGGGAAACCGAGUCUUAACUGGGCGUCUAGUUGCAAGGUAUAGACCCGAAACCCGGUGAUCUAGCCAUGGGCAGGUUGAAGGUUGGGUAACACUAACUGGAGGACCGAACCGACUAAUGUUGAAAAAUUAGCGGAUGACUUGUGGCUGGGGGUGAAAGGCCAAUCAAACCGGGAGAUAGCUGGUUCUCCCCGAAAGCUAUUUAGGUAGCGCCUCGUGAACUCAUCUUCGGGGGUAGAGCACUGUUUCGGCUAGGGGGCCAUCCCGGCUUACCAAACCGAUGCAAACUCCGAAUACCGAAGAAUGUUAUCACGGGAGACACACGGCGGGUGCUAACGUCCGUCGUGAAGAGGGAAACAACCCAGACCGCCAGCUAAGGUCCCAAAGUCAUGGUUAAGUGGGAAACGAUGUGGGAAGGCACAGACAGCCAGGAUGUUGGCUUAGAAGCAGCCAUCAUUUAAAGAAAGCGUAAUAGCUCACUGGUCGAGUCGGCCUGCGCGGAAGAUGUAACGGGGCUAAACCAUGCACCGAAGCUGCGGCAGCGACACUUAGGUGUUGUUGGGUAGGGGAGCGUUCUGUAAGCCGUUGAAGGUGACCUGUGAGGGUUGCUGGAGGUAUCAGAAGUGCGAAUGCUGACAUAAGUAACGAUAAUGCGGGUGAAAAACCCGCACGCCGGAAGACCAAGGGUUCCUGUCCAACGUUAAUCGGGGCAGGGUGAGUCGACCCCUAAGGCGAGGCUGAAAAGCGUAGUCGAUGGGAAACAGGUUAAUAUUCCUGUACUUGGUGUUACUGCGAAGGGGGGACGGAGAAGGCUAGGCUGGCCGGGCGACGGUUGUCCCGGUUUAAGCGUGUAGGGGGAGUGACCAGGUAAAUCCGGUUGCUUAUCAACCCUGAGGCGUGAUGACGAUGCACCACGGUGCAGAAGCAGUUGAUGCCAUGCUUCCAGGAAAAGCCUCUAAGCAUCAGGUAACAUUAAAUCGUACCCCAAACCGACACAGGUGGUCAGGUAGAGAAUACUCAGGCGCUUGAGAGAACUCGGGUGAAGGAACUAGGCAAAAUGGUGCCGUAACUUCGGGAGAAGGCACGCUGGCGUUAGGUGAAAGGACUAGCUCCUGGAGCUGAAGCCAGUCGCAGAUACCAGCUGGCUGCAACUGUUUAAUAAAAACACAGCACUGUGCAAACACGAAAGUGGACGUAUACGGUGUGACGCCUGCCCGGUGCUGGAAGGUUAAUUGAUGGGGUCAGCCGCAAGGCGAAGCUCUUGAUCGAAGCCCCAGUAAACGGCGGCCGUAACUAUAACGGUCCUAAGGUAGCGAAAUUCCUUGUCGGGUAAGUUCCGACCUGCACGAAUGGCGUAAUGAUGGCCAGGCUGUCUCCACCCGAGACUCAGUGAAAUUGAACUCGCUGUGAAGAUGCAGUGUACCCGCGGCAAGACGGAAAGACCCCGUGAACCUUUACUAUAGCUUGACACUGAACAUUGAGCCUUGAUGUGUAGGAUAGGUGGGAGGCCUUGAAGUGUGGACGCCAGUCUGCAUGGAGCCAACCUUGAAAUACCACCCUUUAAUGUUUGAUGUUCUAACUCGGCCCCAUGAUCUGGGGUGAGGACAGUGUCUGGUGGGUAGUUUGACUGGGGCGGUCUCCUCCCAAAGAGUAACGGAGGAGCACGAAGGUUAGCUAAUCACGGUCGGACAUCGUGAGGUUAGUGCAAAGGCAUAAGCUAGCUUGACUGCGAGAGUGACGGCUCGAGCAGGUACGAAAGUAGGUCUUAGUGAUCCGGUGGUUCUGAAUGGAAGGGCCAUCGCUCAACGGAUAAAAGGUACUCCGGGGAUAACAGGCUGAUACCGCCCAAGAGUUCAUAUCGACGGCGGUGUUUGGCACCUCGAUGUCGGCUCAUCACAUCCUGGGGCUGAAGUAGGUCCCAAGGGUAUGGCUGUUCGCCAUUUAAAGUGGUACGCGAGCUGGGUUUAGAACGUCGUGAGACAGUUCGGUCCCUAUCUGCCGUGGGCGUUGGAAGAUUGAGAGGGGCUGCUCCUAGUACGAGAGGACCGGAGUGGACGAAUCACUGGUGUUCGGGUUGUCAUGCCAAUGGCAUUGCCCGGUAGCUAAAUUCGGAAGAGAUAACCGCUGAAAGCAUCUAAGCGGGAAACUUGCCUCGAGAUGAGUCUUCCCUGGGGCUUAAAGCCCCCUGAAGGAACGUUAAAGACUAUGACGUUGAUAGGCUGGGUGUGUAAGUGCAGCGAUGUAUUGAGCUAACCAGUACUAAUGAUCCGUGAGGCUUAACCUUACAACACCGAAGGUGUUU